RNAcentral lists this ribosomal RNA (1147 nucleotides) under Escherichia coli. RNAcentral's name for it is "partial 23S ribosomal RNA". It matches the Rfam family "Bacterial large subunit ribosomal RNA", at positions 399 to 1551 of the family's 2925-position model. Lineage: Bacteria; Pseudomonadati; Pseudomonadota; Gammaproteobacteria; Enterobacterales; Enterobacteriaceae. The record is from RNAcentral.
GUGAGCUCGAUGAGUAGGGCGGGACACGUGGUAUCCUGUCUGAAUAUGGGGGGACCAUCCUCCAAGGCUAAAUACUCCUGACUGACCGAUAGUGAACCAGUACCGUGAGGGAAAGGCGAAAAGAACCCCGGCGAGGGGAGUGAAAAAGAACCUGAAACCGUGUACGUACAAGCAGUGGGAGCCUCUUAAUGGGGUGACUGCGUACCUUUUGUAUAAUGGGUCAGCGACUUAUAUUCUGUAGCAAGGUUAACCGAAUAGGGGAGCCGAAGGGAAACCGAGUCUUAACUGGGCGUUAAGUUGCAGGGUAUAGACCCGAAACCCGGUGAUCUAGCCAUGGGCAGGUUGAAGGUUGGGUAACACUAACUGGAGGACCGAACCGACUAAUGUUGAAAAAUUAGCGGAUGACUUGUGGCUGGGGGUGAAAGGCCAAUCAAACCGGGAGAUAGCUGGUUCUCCCCGAAAGCUAUUUAGGUAGCGCCUCGUGAAUUCAUCUCCGGGGGUAGAGCACUGUUUCGGCAAGGGGGUCAUCCCGACUUACCAACCCGAUGCAAACUGCGAAUACCGGAGAAUGUUAUCACGGGAGACACACGGCGGGUGCUAACGUCCGUCGUGAAGAGGGAAACAACCCAGACCGCCAGCUAAGGUCCCAAAGUCAUGGUUAAGUGGGAAACGAUGUGGGAAGGCCCAGACAGCCAGGAUGUUGGCUUAGAAGCAGCCAUCAUUUAAAGAAAGCGUAAUAGCUCACUGGUCGAGUCGGCCUGCGCGGAAGAUGUAACGGGGCUAAACCAUGCACCGAAGCUGCGGCAGCGACACUAUGUGUUGUUGGGUAGGGGAGCGUUCUGUAAGCCUGUGAAGGUGGCCUGUGAGGGUUGCUGGAGGUAUCAGAAGUGCGAAUGCUGACAUAAGUAACGAUAAAGCGGGUGAAAAGCCCGCUCGCCGGAAGACCAAGGGUUCCUGUCCAACGUUAAUCGGGGCAGGGUGAGUCGACCCCUAAGGCGAGGCCGAAAGGCGUAGUCGAUGGGAAACAGGUUAAUAUUCCUGUACUUGGUGUUACUGCGAAGGGGGGACGGAGAAGGCUAUGUUGGCCGGGCGACGGUUGUCCCGGUUUAAGCGUGUAGGCUGGUUUUCCAGGCAAAUCCGGAAAACC